Molecule: ribosomal RNA, 421 nt
Filed under: uncultured bacterium
Lineage: Bacteria
Description: bacterial SSU rRNA
Rfam family: Bacterial small subunit ribosomal RNA
Source: RNAcentral
UCGAGAAUCUUCGGCAAUGGGCGCAAGCCUGACCGAGCGACGCCGCGUGCGGGAUGAAGGCCUUCGGGUUGUAAACCGCUGUCGUAGGGGAGGAAGAUCCUGUGAAGAACAGGGUUUGACCGAUCCUAGGAGGAAGGGCCGGCUAAUCUCGUGCCAGCAGCCGCGGUAAUACGAGAGGCCCAAACGUUAUUCGGAAUUACUGGGCUUAAAGAGUUCGUAGGCGGUAUGGAAAGUAGGGUGUGAAAGCCCUCGGCUCAACCGAGGAAUUGCGCUCUAAACUUCCGUACUUGAGGAAGCUAGAGGUGAGCGGAACUGAUGGUGGAGCGGUGAAAUGCGUUGAUAUCAUCAGGAACACCGGAGGCGAAGGCGGCUCACUGGGGCUUUUCUGACGCUGAGGAACGAAAGCCAGGGUAGCGAACGG